CCAGCUCCAAUAGCGUAUAUUAAAGUUGUUGCAGUUAAAAAGCUCGUAGUUGGACUUCGGGCUAGGGCGAGCCGGUGGCAACACUAGGCUAACCCUGGCCUUUCACUCUGGGGACCACGUCACUUUUAACUAAGGGGCGCUGGGACGCAGGUCGUUUACUUUGAAAAAAUCAGAGUGUUCAAAGCAGGCAUUUGCUUGAAUACAUUAGCAUGGAAUAAUGAAAUAGGACUUUGGUUCUAUUUUGUUGGUUUAUGGGACCGAAGUAAUGAUUAAUAGGGACAGUUGGGGGCGUUUGUAUUCCGUUGUCAGAGGUGAAAUUCUUGGAUUUACGGAAGACAAACAACUGCGAAAGCAUUCGCCAAGGAUGUUUUCGUUAAUCAAGAACGAAAGUUAGGGGAUCGAAGACGAUCAGAUACCGUCGUAGUCUUAACUAUAAACUAUGCCGACUAGGGAUCAGCGGCUGUCUUCAAGACGCCGUUGGCACCUUGUGAGAAAUCAAAGUCCUUGGGUUCCGGGGGGAGUAUGGUCGCAAGGCUGAAACUUAAAGGAAUUGACGGAAGGGCACCACCAGGAGUGGAGCCUGCGGCUUAAUUCGACUCAAC
This 602-nucleotide ribosomal RNA is filed under the name uncultured alga. Its description in RNAcentral is "SSU rRNA". It matches the Rfam family "Eukaryotic small subunit ribosomal RNA", at positions 585 to 1204 of the family's 1831-position model. The record is from RNAcentral.